RNAcentral lists this non-coding RNA (74 nucleotides) under Entomoneis paludosa. Lineage: Eukaryota; Bacillariophyta; Bacillariophyceae; Surirellales; Surirellaceae. The record is from RNAcentral.
UAGAGCCCCUUGGAAACUGCCGUUGUCUUUUCCUUGGAAUUCUGCCGUACGGAAUGCGCGAGGCUGGCAAAUGG